This 85-nucleotide transfer RNA is filed under the name Felis catus (domestic cat). It matches the Rfam family "tRNA". Rfam says of the family: Transfer RNA (tRNA) molecules are approximately 80 nucleotides in length. Their secondary structure includes four short double-helical elements and three loops (D, anti-codon, and T loops). Further hydrogen bonds mediate the characteristic L-shaped molecular structure. tRNAs have two regions of fundamental functional importance: the anti-codon, which is responsible for specific mRNA codon recognition, and the 3' end, to which the tRNAs corresponding amino acid is attached (by aminoacyl-tRNA synthetases). tRNAs cope with the degeneracy of the genetic code in two manners: having more than one tRNA (with a specific anti-codon) for a particular amino acid; and 'wobble' base-pairing, i.e. permitting non-standard base-pairing at the 3rd anti-codon position. Lineage: Eukaryota; Metazoa; Chordata; Mammalia; Carnivora; Felidae. The record is from Rfam by way of RNAcentral.
GUCUGGGUGGCUCAGUCGGUUGAGUGUCUGACUUCAGCUCAGGUCAUGGUCUCACGGUUCGUGGGUUCGAGCCCCAUGUCUGGCU